AUGAUUACGUGUGGACCAGAUGUGUGCUCUUUUCCAUUGCAUACCAGAUUGUCGGCUAAAAGAGUUUUUUGUCUUCCAGCAAUGAGCUUUCAUUUUCAUUGUGGAGGUUUGUUCGGUUCAUCUCCUCUCAUCAUUUUUUUUCAGUUUAUCUCUUCAGAAGUUUGGGUGCCUCUGUUUUGCUACUUUUUAGUUCUCAUCAUUAAGGUCCAUGGACAUUGUCAGAAUUUUCACUUUAUCGGAGUGUCUUAUUUUCAGAUCUCAUGUUCCUCAAGGCUUUCUUUCACUGCUGCUCUAAACAGGGAACGUUGA
Molecule: ribosomal RNA, 309 nt
Filed under: Triticum aestivum (bread wheat)
Lineage: Eukaryota; Viridiplantae; Streptophyta; Magnoliopsida; Poales; Poaceae
Description: partial small subunit ribosomal RNA
Source: RNAcentral